UACGAAGGGGGCUAGCGUUGCUCGGAAUCACUGGGCGUAAAGCGCACGUAGGCGGCUUUCUAAGUCAGGGGUGAAAUCCUGGAGCUCAACUCCAGAACUGCCUUUGAUACUGGGAGCUCGAGUCCGGAAGAGGUGAGUGGAACUCCGAGUGUAGAGGUGAAAUUCGUAGAUAUUCGGAAGAACACCAGUGGCGAAGGCGGCUCACUGGUCCGGUACUGACGCUGAGGUGCGAAAGCGUGGGGAGCAAACAGGG
This 253-nucleotide ribosomal RNA is filed under the name uncultured bacterium. RNAcentral's name for it is "partial 16S ribosomal RNA". It matches the Rfam family "Bacterial small subunit ribosomal RNA", at positions 524 to 777 of the family's 1533-position model. The record is from RNAcentral.